UGGGGAAUUUUGGACAAUGGGCGAAAGCCUGAUCCAGCAAUGCCGCGUGUGUGAAGAAGGCCUUCGGGUUGUAAAGCACUUUUGUCCGGAAAGAAAUCCUUGGCUCUAAUACAGUCGGGGGAUGACGGUACCGGAAGAAUAAGCACCGGCUAACUACGUGCCAGCAGCCGCGGUAAUACGUAGGGUGCAAGCGUUAAUCGGAAUUACUGGGCGUAAAGCGUGCGCAGGCGGUUUGCUAAGACCGAUGUGAAAUCCCCGGGCUCAACCUGGGAACUGCAUUGGUGACUGGCAGGCUAGAGUAUGGCAGAGGGGGGUAGAAUUCCACGUGUAGCAGUGAAAUGCGUAGAGAUGUGGAGGAAUACCGAUGGCGAAGGCAGCCCCCUGGGCCAAAUACUGACGCUCAUGCACGAAAAGCGUGGGGGAGCAAAACAGGAUUAGAUACCCUGGUAGUCCACGCCCUAAAACGAUGUCAACUAGUUGUUGGGGAUUCAUUUCCUUAGUAACGUAGCUAACGCGUGAAGUUGACCGCCUGGGGAGUACGUCGCAAGAUUAAAACUCAAAGGAAUUGACGGGGUCAUA
Molecule: ribosomal RNA, 579 nt
Filed under: uncultured bacterium
Lineage: Bacteria
Description: partial 16S ribosomal RNA
Rfam family: Bacterial small subunit ribosomal RNA
Source: RNAcentral